GGGGGGCUCGAGUUCUAAAGAUCCCAAACCAUUGUGAACGUACCCGUCAGCGUUGCCUCGGCGGGCGGCCCCUCCCUGGGGCCGCUGCCUCCCUCGGGGGGUGCCCGCCGGCGUACCAAAACUCUUUUGUAUUUUAGUGGCCUCUCUGAGAAAACAAGCAAAUAAGUUAAAACUUUCAACAACGGAUCUCUUGGUUCUGGCAUCGAUGAAGAACGCAGCGAAAUGCGAUAAGUAAUGUGAAUUGCAGAAUUCAGUGAAUCAUCGAAUCUUUGAACGCACAUUGCGCCCGCCAGUACUCUGGCGGGCAUGCCUGUUCGAGCGUCAUUUCAACCCUCAAGCCCUGCUUGGUGUUGGGGUCCUACGGCUGCCGUAGGCCCUGAAAGCUAGUGGCGGGCUCGCUAUAACUCCGAGCGUAGUAGUAAAAUAUCUCGCUAGGGAGGUGUCGCGGGUUCCGGCCGUGAAAGCCCAUCUUUUACACAAGGUUGACCUCGGAUCAGGUAGGAAUACCCGCUGAACUUAAGCAUAUCAAAA
This 531-nucleotide ribosomal RNA is filed under the name fungal sp. RNAcentral describes it as "eukaryotic LSU rRNA". The stretch from base 171 to 324 matches the Rfam family "5.8S ribosomal RNA". The record is from RNAcentral. Lineage: Eukaryota; Fungi.